Misgurnus anguillicaudatus (oriental weatherfish) is the source of this 245-nucleotide non-coding RNA. NCBI's taxonomy places the organism in Eukaryota, Metazoa, Chordata, Actinopteri, Cypriniformes, Cobitidae. The record is from RefSeq and is a predicted model, not a curated record.
GCAUAUUUCUCUUCAAGAUUGAGAAUCGCAACGAAAUCCUCGUCGAGCAACACGUCCACUGAGCAACCAUGUCUGUGUCCUUAAAGGAACUCUGUCAGGUACAGAUUAGAACUAUGAACUUGAAAAUCAACCAUUCUGAUGACUGGCGUCCCCAUCCGAGUCACCACCUCAGACAACAACAGUCAUAAACUCACAAACACAAAUACACUCAGUAAUGCGCUUAAUAAAGAAAGACUUAACUAUGA